UCUCUCCCUCACAGUCCCUUCCAAACUCAAGGCAAUGCACAGUUCUGUUUGCCCCAAGUCUUCCAGAUUUUUCCUCUUCCGAAAUCUCGUCCCCCAUUUUUUAUUUUUAUUUUUCCCCUCAAUUUCCAGCAUUAUUAUCGAGAAUUUAUUGGUUUCCAAAAAAAGAGGAAGGAGCGGAGCAAUGGUGAUGCAAGAAAAGGGAAAAUAAAAAACAUAAAAAAUGAAGAUUAGGAUGUGGUCAUUGGUCGUGACUCGUGAUGAUGAUCAUGUUGUCAUCGAGAUAAGGAGAACGUUAUGGCACAGAUGCUGACAUAGCAUCCAAGAACCGCAAAUCGAGGAAGUUUGUUUUUUGUUCCAAGUGUGUCAGCGGAUAUAAAUAGAAAUGGCAAUGGCAUCUCUGAUUCAAGCAGGAUGCGGUUAUUCGCCGAUAUUCAGUAAUAAUAGUAAUAAUUGUAGUUUCAGAACCGGAUCCUUUGGACCCUUCGGCUGCUCCUCACCUUCCUCUUCUUGCACCUGUUCUUCUUCUUCUCACAAUUUGGAUUUCCGUUCCGGAACAAAUAAUAAUUGGAAACAUCAAGGCCAUAGAGCUCAAGCUAUGAGUACUGCUACUCAAGGAAACUUUGCUUCAUCCAAGAGCAUUUCGAACGGGAAAAAUGAACCUGAUCACCUUCUUGUUCUUGUUCACGGCAUCUUAGCUAGCCCUAGUGAUUGGACGUAUGUAGAGGCAGAGUUGAAAAGGCGGCUUGGAAGAAACUUUCUGAUUUAUGCAAGUUCAUGUAAUACCUAUACUAAAACCUUGACUGGGGUUGAUGGAGCUGGAAAGCGCUUAGCAGAUGAAGUUCUGCAAGUUGUAAAGAAGACUGAAAGCUUGAAAAAGAUUUCAUUUUUAGCCCAUUCUCUUGGGGGCUUGUUUGCAAGAUAUGCAGUUGCUGUUCUUUACACAGAAAAUGACUCAAGUGGCACCCAGUCUGAUAAGGUAACUGAUUCUUCAGAGGGAAAUUUACAAACAUCACGCCCUUCAAGACGAGGUACGAUUGCUGGACUGGAGGCAGUCAGUUUUAUUACCUUGGCAACUCCACAUCUUGGGGUGAGAGGGAGAAAGCAGCUUCCAUUUCUCUUAGGAGUUCCUAUUUUAGAGAAACUUGCCCCACCAAUUGCUCCAUUUUUUGUUGGUCGAACUGGUAAACAACUAUUUCUAACUGAUGGCAAGCCCAACAGACCGCCACUGCUUUUGAGGAUGGCAUCUGAUUGUGAGGAUGGGAAAUUCUUGUACGUAAAGCAAGCUUUUAUAGUGACUGAAGAAGCUUGCUUUUGUUCAGAUUUUAUUAUUAUUAUUACAUAUUUUUUUAUGCAAAUGAGGAAGUCCAAAGAGGAAGAUCUGCCCUUGGUGCAUUUAGGUGCCGCAUUGCCUAUGCAAAUGUAUCUUAUGAUCAUAUGGUUGGCUGGCGCACAUCCUCCAUCAGGCGGGAGAAAGAACUUGUUAAGCCCCCACUACGAUCUUUGGAUGGUUACAAACAUGUUGUGGAUGUGGACUACUGUCCACCAGUUUCUUCUGAUGGCCCCAGUUUUCCUCCCGAAGCUGCCAAAGCAAAGGAGGCAGCACAGAAUGCACCUAACGUACAAAACACAGUCGAAUAUCAUGAACUCAUGGAAGAGGAAAUGAUACAAGGUUUACAGAAAUUGGGAUGGAAAAAAGUUGAUGUCAGCUUUCAUUCCGCACUCUGGCCCUUUUUCGCCCACAAUAACAUCCAUGUAAAAAACGAAUGGUUUCAUAAUGCCGGCGCUGGAGUAGUUGCUCAUGUUGCUGACAGCCUUAAGCAACAAGAAUCCUCUUCCCCAUUUAUUUCUGCUAGCUUGUAGCCACGAAAUGUAUGUAAGUGCACUGUGCCAGUGCGCCUGAAGCAUAUUGUAAAACAAAUUACACAAGAUGAAAUGAAGAAAAUGAAAGAUCUCUUAUCACGUACUGAUAUAAAUCCCAUUUCCGUAGGAUUUCUUUACGAACAUUAAGUGGCAUUUGCAUGCUAGCCUAUAGCCACCUGUUAACACAGGAUUCUUUA
RNA transcript from Theobroma cacao (cacao), 2057 nucleotides. It is a transcript of the gene named Hydrolase-like protein family, with no coding region annotated. Lineage: Eukaryota; Viridiplantae; Streptophyta; Magnoliopsida; Malvales; Malvaceae. The record is from RefSeq and is a predicted model, not a curated record.